RNAcentral lists this ribosomal RNA (253 nucleotides) under uncultured bacterium. Its description in RNAcentral is "partial 16S ribosomal RNA". It matches the Rfam family "Bacterial small subunit ribosomal RNA", at positions 524 to 776 of the family's 1533-position model. The record is from RNAcentral.
UACGAAGGGGGCUAGCGUUGUUCGGAAUUACUGGGCGUAAAGCGCACGUAGGCGGACAUUUAAGUCAGGGGUGAAAGCCUGGAGCUCAACUCCAGAACUGCCCUUGAUACUGGCAAUCUCGAGUCCGGAAGAGGUAAGUGGAACUCCGAGUGUAGAGGUGAAAUUCGUAGAUAUUCGGAAGAACACCAGUGGCGAAGGCGGCUUACUGGUCCGGUACUGACGCUGAGGUGCGAAAGCGUGGGGAGCAAACAGG